This 1051-nucleotide non-coding RNA is filed under the name Caenorhabditis japonica. RNAcentral describes it as "Eukaryotic large subunit ribosomal RNA". It matches the Rfam family "Eukaryotic large subunit ribosomal RNA", at positions 929 to 1945 of the family's 3401-position model. Lineage: Eukaryota; Metazoa; Nematoda; Chromadorea; Rhabditida; Rhabditidae. The record is from Rfam by way of RNAcentral.
GACUAAUCGAACCAUCUGUAGCUGUUCCUUCCGAAGUUUCCCUCAGGAUAGCUGGAACUCUACCAGUUAUAUUCGGUAAAGUUAUGAUUAGAGGCCUUGGGGACGUAAUGUCCUCAACCUAUCUCAACUUUCAAUGGAUAUGGCGUCGCAGUUUUCUUAGUGAACUGCGGCGUGAAUGCGAGUUCCAAGUGGGCCAUUUUUGGUAAGCAGAACUGGCGCUGUGGGAUGAACCAAACGUGGAGUUAAGGUGCCUAACUUCUCGCUUAUGAGACCCCAUAAAAGGUGUUGGUUGAUAUUGACAGCAGGACGGUGGCCAUGGAAGUCGGUACCCGCUAAGGAGUGUGUAACAACUCACCUGCCGAAUCAACUAGCCCUGAAAAUGGAUGGCGCUUAAGCGAGAGACCUAUACUCCGCCGUCGCGGCAUGUGCGUUGUCUAGCGCCAGGUCGCGACGAGUAGGAAGGACGUGGCGGUUGCGUUGAAGGCUAUGAGCGUAGGCUCGGCUGGAGCUUCCGUCAGUGCAGAUCGUAAUGGUAGUAGCAAAUAUUCAAGUUCGAUCCUUGAAGACUGAAGUGGAGAAGGGUUCCACGUGAACAGUAGUUGGAUGUGGGUCAGUCGAUCCUAAGGUACUGGCGAAAGCCUUGUAUCAUCGGUGGCGAAAAGCUUGCUUUUUGUCCCCGCCCGUCGAAAGGGAAUAGGGUUAAUAUUCCCUAACUGAGAUGCAAAGAUUGUGUUCUUCGGAGCACAAGCGCGGUAACGCGUUCGAACUUGGUAAGUCGCUCAGAGACCGAGCUAGAGUUUUCUUCUCUAGUUAAGGAACGGACUCCCUGGAAUUGGUUCAGCCAGAGAUGGGGACGUUGUUUCCGAAAAGCACCGCGGUUUCUGUGGUGUCUCGUGCUCUCUGAACGGCCCUUUAAACACCAAGGGAGGCUAUUAAUUUGCACUCAAUCGUACCGAUAUCCGCAUUAGGUCUCCAAGGUGAACAGCCUCUAGUCGAUAGAAUAAUGUAGGUAAGGGAAGUCGGCAAACUUGUUCCGUAACUUCGGGAAAAG